This 2961-nucleotide long non-coding RNA is filed under the name Acanthaster planci (crown-of-thorns starfish). RNAcentral's name for it is "uncharacterized LOC110978504, transcript variant X2". The record is from RNAcentral. Lineage: Eukaryota; Metazoa; Echinodermata; Asteroidea; Valvatida; Acanthasteridae.
CUGUCUCCUGAAUGUACAUGUAAAUGAAUUUUGAACAGAUGUGAUGUUAUAAUGUGGCAGCUGAUUCCAGUCCCUGGUUUUUGUACCAGUAGACCUACUUGUAGGGAAUGGUUUGUAGCGGGACCUUUAAAAUUAGCACUGUUCCUUUAAUGUGCUUUAUAUAUCCAUGAGUUCAAAGGUCACACUUUGCCCUGCUCUUUUGUACCUGCAUCACACACGUGAAGUUGUUAGUACAUGCUCAGAUUCUGUAGAUUGUUCGCCAUUCAUAUCGGAUGAUUACAGGCUAUGGUCAUCACUCUUGUUAAGUACCAGUUUUUAUGAUUCUGUAUCUUGAGCACUGCAAUCAUUAGACUUCAAAAUGAGGUCGAACUAGGCUUUUCUGUGCUUGAAUCACUUUUUAAGGGGCAUUGCCAAGGUUUCAGCAAAGAAAUCCAGUCAUACCACUGUUUGCUUUGGACUACUGUGUCAAUGUUUGAAGGAUACCAGCCAUUCCUCUCUCAGUCUUCAAGCUGCUGCAGGUCUGUUUGAAGGAUCUCACAGUCUGCUGCUGUCCUGCUGAUAUAAUAGGACAAGACAAUCAUCCACGAACGGACAUACAUGUACUUGGGAUUUAAUCCCAUCAGGGACAUCUUUAAUGUACAGGAGAAACAGGAGAGGUCCAAGAACGAUGCCCUGAGAUACUCCAGACAAUACCUCAACAGGAGUUGAAGAUGCGCCUUGAAGAACAACAGUUUGAUGCUUCCCAGUGAUCAAAUAUCAAAGAUAUGGAAAUGCCUUGUUGACAGAUGUAAUGUACUGCAAUGGAUGCCCAUGCCGAGGCUGGCUAACUUAUCCCACGUCAUGGAGUGAGUAGACUGACCAGGGAUGAAAUCUUCAAUUCUGCAAAUGCAUGCUAGCUAUGUCAUGAAUGGUAGCAGGUGAAUGCACCGGUACUGCUGAGGCUCGCUAACAUAUCCCGCAUUCUGGUGUGACUGGAAUGACCAGCGAUGACAUCUCUGAUGUUGAAAACGCAGGCCUUACAUCAUGAAUGGUAGACGACCUCAUAUGAAAGCUGUGCAUAUGGCCUAGGAGAACCAGACAAUGGUGCUGAUGAGAAGAGCACCCUCGCCUCCUACAACAAGGAGAGAAACAAGAUGGAGGGCAAGAUACAUUCAAACCCUGUUAAUAAGAACAUUGUAAAUACAACAUUUUGCUUUUAACAAGGAAAAUUUUAGGUCCCAAUCAUUCUUCAUUGUUUUCUUUCCUGAUAGUACAAGGUUCAUGUUAUAACAAGUUAAUCUGCUAACUCUGAAGGGCCUCGUAUUAACGAGGUUCAACUGCACUCCCCCUCACCCCACAGAUUUACGCCCCUGCCACCCUAUGAUGGAGCAAUUCUAUAUGUGUUUGUAUAUUAGUGGGAAAAAGUUCCAUACACAGCCAUCACUUGACACCCUAUAUACAAACCCUAUGAGGCAGGGCCAGGAAAUUCUAAGCAGUAAAACUCUUCAUUGUUUUCCCUGCUAAAUUUGAAUUUUUAGGACCGUACUGCUUCCCAAUUGUCACAUUUACAAACAUGUUCCAUUGCAGGCAGAAAUUAGCGAUGUAUCAGUGUAUGGAAACUCUUUCCACAGUACUUUCAUCCAAAUUCAUUACUGAAAAGGAUAUUUUCCUGUUUAACGUAACUUGGUCAUAUUGCAUUUCAACAACCAUUCUCUCUCAUAUUUGCGCAAAUUUCUUGCUUUAAAUUCACUUUCUGGGAGUCAGGUUUGCAUAGCAGCUUUUUCCUUGUCUUCCACCUCAGCGGCCCAGGUUCGAAUCCCACCAAGGCCCACAACCUCCCAAUAAGUGCUGAAUGUUCAUUGGAUGACUAAAAAUAAAAGAAUAACGGUAACUUUAUUUAUUCAUUGUACAAUUUGUACAUGUAAACUCUAUGGGAUGAUUUUCAAUGGGCCGUCAUUAUCAGCUGAUGGCACUGUAGUGAUGUGUACAUGCAUUACUUUUUUCACCCAUCUUGGGGGGGGGGAAUAAUGUGAAGUUUUUAAAGGUGGGAAGAAAACUCCAGGUAAAUAAUCAUAGAGAAACCCAAGGAAUCAAGUAGGGGCCAAAACUCAAUCCACACGUCGGUUUGGGCAAGAUUUGAUUGUGGAUCGCAGAGGUGGAACACUGAGGUGGAGGGCAAGGAAAGUAUCAUUGUGCCAACCUGUCUCCCCAAAAUAAAGUCAUAACAUUAUCACGAUGCUACACAUGUACAUGUAUGAUACUUCAAAAACUGUAAUUUGUCCUGUCGGUGCUAAAUGGUCCUUACUGAAAAAUUGCAUUUAAUGGUCCUUACCGAAAAAUACUAUUUUAAACCUGAAAUUAAGCAAGAAAAUUUCCUAAUAUUUAAAUAUGUUGGUCCAAAAAAAAAGUUUAAUAAAAGUAAAACAAAUGUUUUGUGUUUUUCAAUGCAUUUCCUUCAUGCUCAGAGUAAGACCCUGAAAGUAUUUUCACAAAUUUUAUUUUUGCUGCAUUGACCUUUUAGCACUGACCUGACAAAUUGUACCAUAAAAUAGUUACCGUUUGGAAAAACUACAGUCUAGGGCACGAGGAAAGUUUAUAACUAUAUUGCAUGCUUUUAAGAAGUGAACAGUGUAUUGCAAUUUCAUAUCUCCCCCUUUCCCAUUUAGGCAAUAAGCAUGUACCUGUACCGUACCCAUCAACCCUGCUUAGCCAAAACAGUGGCUGUUCAAAACCUCACUGUAACAGGUUUAUCAUCCCCUGGAAAUGGUUCUAUGUGCCUUUGUAUUUUCCUGGUGUCUUUUAAUUAUUAGCCUUUCCAAUUUUAAUUAUCACAAAAGUUUUAAAUCAGAAUUUACAAAUUUUAGCUUGCUGUGAAAAUACAUGUAGGCCUUUUUCUGGGUAUAUUUAUCAAAAUUACUAUGUAUCAGAACCACUUCUAUUAUACAAGGGCCUUUUAUGAAAUAAAUGUUUAAACUAACAGAA